CUUGGUGAAGAGACUUAGAGGUUCUCAAUUUUGGGAACUUGGAGAAACCUAUUCUUCCAUCCAAAUCCAUAGAUCUAAGAUGCAAGGAAUGAAGGCCCUCUCUUUGGGUGAUUAGCCUUUGCUUAUGCAAAGAGGAAUCUACAAAGGUAUAAUUUCUCAACUCACUUUGUUUUGAGUUGAGUCUUGGUUCACCAAUCUACUAGGCUUUGAAUUUCAUGGUUAAUGUUUUGUUUUUUAAGUGCAUGCAAGCAUGAUUCCGCCUUUAAUUGUUAAUUGCAUGCUUAUAGAUGUUGCUUAAAUGAACAUGUUUUCACAAAAUUCAUCCUUCAAGUGGUAUCAGAGCCUAGGUCUAGUAGUUGGUGAAUCCUUUUGGGUUUUGUAGUUCAUAGUUUUGAUUUAAAAGUUGUAAUAUGUUACAAGCUUUAUUCUUGUUUCUUUGAAUGUAAAUUUUGUUAGAAAAUUUGCCAUCUCAAAUGUUGUAGAUGUAGUUCAUAUGAGCAUGAAUAUUGGAGCUAAAAUUUGGUGCCAUGACUUUUGGGAAAAUUUUCGGCCAAAUCCAAAGGGUGGAUUUUUGGGUUCUUGUUUGACUUGUUAAAAGUGUUUUCAAGUGACUUUUGGAACCCCUAUGUACCCUAGUUUGGUUAUAUGUUAUUUCCCUUAAAGUUUGAAUGGUUUUGGAAUGUUUUUGGGUGAAAAAUGUUCAUGGAAAAAUUUUGGGUUUUUUCAUGAGUGUUCUUCAUUGUUCUUGACAUUUUUGCCAAGAACAAAAAAAGGUUUGGUGUUUUGAUUCAAAGUUUUGAUUUAUUUCAUAAAGUUUUGUUUUGUUUUCAAAUGUUUUAAUGUGAUUAGAAAUUGUGAAAGGUGAUGGAAAUGGUGAUAGGUGUGUAAGAAGUACUUCUCUUACACACACAUCACUUGCAAGACUUUAAGUCACAUACCCACUUGCAUAAUUUAUGUCACAAAUCCACUUGCAAGGCUUUAUGAAAUUGUUGAAAAAAAAAUUCAAAUUUUUGUGGACUUACUCCACUCCCUUUCCCUCUCUAAAACCGGCCACUCCCUCAAUGGGAGUACUUUUGGGGCUUUUAUGCAAUUACAUAAAGUUUUGAUACUUUUGUGUAUUUGCACUUUGGCCCAAAAGUUUACGUUUUUUACGUUUAGGUCCAAAAACGCUAAAGGACAAAUUGUUUUGCUCCUUUAAUGAAGUUUUUGCAUUUGUUAAAUUUUUGGGUUCUAGUUGUAAUUACAUGAAGUAGUGGACUUUUGUGUUUUUACAAAGUGACCCCAAAAGUUUUGCAAUAUAGCCCAAAAGUUGAGGUUAAUUGCUUUAUGGCCCAAAUAAGUUGUGGUUAUUGCAUAUUGGCCCAAAUUAGGUUGAGAACAAAAUUGUUUUGUCUCUUUAAAUGAGAAUUGGAUUUUCAUUUCAUUUAGCUCCAUUUAAAUCAAUUUUAUGGAUACAAAAACCAAAUGAAAAUGUUGCAUUCAAUUUAAUUAGUUAAAGUGUUAAUUAAUUAAAGGGUGAUUAUGAACCUAAGCCUAAUAUAAUUGAGCUAUGUGAAAGGCCGUUUCAAAUUUGUUUGAACCAUGGGAAUGUGUAGAUUAGAUUUUGGUUGUAAUUUGAUUUGAUCAAAUGUUGUAAAAGGCAUAAGCUCUUCUUUACUUUAAAGUAAUUUGUUUUAUGCAAAUGUUGUAAUGAGCAUAAGCUCACCUUUACUUUGAAGUACUUCUUUCUUGCUUUAUUUGAUAUGCAUGAAAAUGAAGUAGUUGGGUCCAACGCCCCUAAGACAACACGCCUUAAUGUGAUUAAACGCGUAACUAAAAUCAAUCACCAUCCCUAGACCGAGAUUCAACACUAGGCUCGUGUUGAAUCUAAACAAAGGUUCAUAGUCAUCCUAAGGCCCUAAGGCAACUAUAUAGUCCAUCAAAUGAAUGCAAAGUUUAUGUUAGUAGUAUCAUAUACUCUUGCUUUAAAAACCGUUUUAUAAGCAUAGUGGGAGUAUUAUAUACAACUAAAAACAAUAAUAUGGACCAAUAGUUGUAAUAGGACCAAAAUUGUUUUAAUAGAGAUUAAAAUGUAUGUUUAUAUGUGAUGAGACCUAAAACCCUCAACCAAACCAUUAUUAAGUUGAUAAGCGUGAGAGUGCUUUGAACACUCUUUCGUGGCCUUCCACCGUGGUAGGCUCCGAUCGUUUGUGACUCGUACACCGGCUUCACCCUAUCAUGGGGGAGUACAAAGUGCAUGCUUAUACUCAGGAGGAGUCCUAUAAACAUAUGAUGAAGUUGAAGGUAGGCAACGAGGAUGGCCAAUAUCAUAUCAUUGUGAGGCUAUUCUUGAACCCCUACAUGAACUAAGCAUGGUGGGAAUGACUUAACUAAGUGCAAUGGAGCCAAUAUCAUAUCAUUGUGAGGUGGGCUUGGUAAUAGUGAGCCUCCCAUACCCUACUAAGAGUUUCCUCCAAAACUCUCGAAUUCCAAUGAGGGAUAUGGAAUUUGCCAAAAAUAGUGGGUGGUGCUAUUUGAUUUAAAGACCCGGAUCAAAUGGCUUAAAAAUCAAUCAAUUUAUAUUCGUUAUGUAUUUGUUUACCAAUAUAUUUGCAAACGCUAUCCAACACUUGACAAAUAAAAGCCGAAAGCUUUAGUUUCCGGACUUGGUACUACAAAACCAUAGAUUGUCUUUAAAUGGCUUGUAAAUGUACCUAAGUAGUCUCAUCCUCACAAUCUUCCUAUUGAUAAUGUAUCAUUAGAAGAAAAAUGUUAGAAAAGUCUAUCAUAAAGAGGACAACACUUUUAAUGUCAUAAUUCUUCAAUUACAAAUCGUUGUAUGAAGAAAUAAGAGUUGCUUUGAACAACCCUUAGUCAAUGCAAACACUUAGUGCUUGUUUCUUUGUUACAUGAACAAGGAACUUGAGAAGAAAGCACAAAGGCAUGGACACUUUAUGUGCCAUGAUUCUUCACUUACAAAUUGUUGUAUGAAGAAAUGAGAGUUGCCUUGAACAACUCUUGAAAGUUUGUAAUUAUGUUUAGAACAUAAUGGUUGGUUGACAAAAAUAGUCCAUCAACAUGGACUUAUGAUGAUUUUGAAUCAUUGAGUGUUGAAGUGAUUAAACCACUUAACGAGACGGAAACUAGGCAAGGACUUCACCUUUGUGUCCCUAUCCUAAUGGUUCACUAAGUUUAUUGUAAACUAUGUAGUGAACAAUAACCACAUGCUCUCCAAAAUGUUUGAUGUGUAUAACACAAUUGAAAUAAGUUUCAAGAGAGAUAGUGGGAGUUUAGGGACCAUGACUAUUGUAGUCAAAGGAGAAGUCAAAUGAAGAAGAUAAAAUUAACUCCAAGGGAACAAACUUUCUUUAUGAAAGGAUGGACAUUGGAAGGGGUAUUUGCAAGAAAUGUCUUGCAAGUGUCAAGAACACACCUUUCGAAGGUGUUGUAAAUUGUUCUUGAAUAGUUCAAAACAGUUGGUUCUUCUACUUGAAUGCUUGAUUCCGUAUUAGUAACUAUGUUUUACAAUCGUUGUAAAAGUGUGACUAAUAAGAAGUAGAAGAUUAUAUGAGAGAAGAGAAAAAGGUGCUUCACAUUCGGAACGUGAAUAAAAUAUAGAUCUCUGCGAAAGCAGAUAGUACUUACUUCCUCAUAUGAACUACCAAAGAAAUUGGAAAAACCAAAGAUUGUCUUUACAUUCCAAUUUUAAGGAACUUAAUUCCGUCACUAUAGUAGAGAUGGAUGAAUGUUUUGUUUGACAAAACAUUGUUCUUUAUUAAUCAAUGAUUGGAUUAUGGUAAUCUAAUUGAUUGUCUCUAUAGUAGAGAUAAUAUGGUAGUGUUAACUGUUUAGAAUAUAAUGAUGCUUAAAACCCAAAAGGUUGCAAGGUAGUGACUAAUCCCAACUAAGUUGUGAUACCUCUAAAACAUAAAUUACGAGUUGGUCAUAGAUGGAUGCUUUGGAUCGUUAGAUCCGGAUCCAAUACCUUCUUGUUAAAAUUGUAUAGAGGCGAAAUGUUCGAAUCUUUAUUCUUUUGGAAAGAAGAAAGAAUCACAAAGUUGUUGAGGUUAAUUCACUUAGAUGUUAGUGGCACUUGUCCACAACAUAAUACUACUCAUGUUGGAUGACAUUCACCGAAGAUCACUCUCGGUUGGACUAUAGUUUAUUUUGAAUAAACACAAGUCCGAAUACUUUGCAAAAUGUUUCAAAGAAUUCAAGAAAUGUAAGUUGAUGAGUAAGACGUCUAAAGUAUUUACCUCCUUAGAUUUGAUCCAAGGAAAGGUAACACUUUAGAUGAGUUUCCUUGAAAGAUAUCAAGGAAAAUAGCAUCAUAAGAUAAUGAAUUUCUCCAUUAGGAGAAGAACGAACUCGAAUAAGAUUUAGUUCGUUAGAUGUUAUCUAUUACCCAUAUAUAUAGGAUAUAUACUUCUAAAACAAUAUGAUUGUCAAUUAGAAGAUCUUCCAAUAUUUUCAUGACUCCAUAAGAUGUAGUUGGAAAGAAAGACAAAUCUUAAGCAUGUUAAGAUUUGGGGUUGUGUGCUAAUAAGCAAUAUUUGUUUGAUAACAAUCUUGUGGGAUAUCCUUAAAUUAACUUUUGGAUAUCGCUUCUAUAAACCAACUAACAAAUGUUGUUUUGUUGGGUAGUUCAUUGUAAUCCUACAAUGUGAUUUGCCUAAAAGCAAAUGAACGAGAGAUAGAACUCAAAGAAUGGGUUCUUUGAGAGACAAGAUAAGUAAUCAACAAAUAUAACAACCUAGUUCCUAUACCAAAAGCUCCAAGGUAGUCGAGAAGGAUUUAUAAACCGUCUCAGUUGAAUGGUUUGAACUUUAUGACUAUGUCAUAGAGUUGCACCUCUUAAUUCGAAAGAAAUAAGAAUGAAAAUCCUUAUGACUACAUUGAGUGUAUAUACGAUAUAUACUCAAGGAAAUGGUAAAGUACCAUUUGACCCGAAAUAAUGAAACCUUCAUAAGCUAAUUGGUAGCUUAAGGUGACUACAAUCAAAGAGAAUGGUUGACUUUGAAGAAACCAUCUUUUGACGUAGUCUUGGUUUCAAUUAAUUCGAAGAUUGCUAGCUACAACUAAAUGGUGAUUCAAUGUUUGGACAUAAUAUGGGUUUCCGAAACCAUUAUUAAGAUAGUCUUGAUAAUAUAUGUCUAAAACUAUGAAUCACAAGACAUGUAAGUUGUAGAGAUCCAUCCAUCAUGAAUCUUAGCAAGCUAGUGGGAGCUAUAAGCGUCUUAUGAGAGAAAGGAUCAAAUCGUUUGAUUUCUCAUAAAGAUGUAAAUGAAUCUUUUGUUUACUAGGUUUACAAAAGAUUAGUGGGAGUUAAUCAUAUUCCUAAAUUUGUAUAUAUAUAUAUAUAUAAAUAUAUAUGUGUAUAUAUGAAUGUAUAUAUGAUAUAUAAUUUUGGAAAUGAAAAGAAUACUUCUUCGUUAAAGUUAUGACUUUAAACAUUAUAUGAAGAUAGAAUGUAUAUGGGAGAUAUAGUCUAUAUACAUGGGAUGGAAAUCUAUAAUGAUAUAUUUCAUGAUAUAAUUGGAUUAUAUCAAUCCCUAAUAAUAGACAAUGGAUGCUAGGAAGUUUCUCAUAUGAUGAUAAACUUCAAUUAGAAGGACAACUCUAGUGAGACUAAGCAAGUUGCUCUUCUCAAAGAGAAACGUACUCUUUGACUCCCAAAGAAAUAAUGCGUAAAUAGAAUCCUUUAUGCAUACGCAGAAAGGUGAUUUAUGUAUUUCAUAUUGUAUGAAAAACAUUGAUAUGAGUUGUACCUAGAACGGUACAAGACGAUAUCAGUGCAAGCCCAGGAUCAGAACCAUGGCAACUGUCAAGUGAGUCCUUAAGUAUUUAAGAAAUACUAAAGGAUAGAUUCCUCAAAGAAUGAGGAAGAAUUAGAGUAACGUAAUGGAAGCGUAAAUGUAUUAGAUUAUGAAUCUAAUCCAUCAUUGGAUGUUUCUUCAUUAUGAAUGAAGAGAUAAACAGAUAUCUCUUUAUUAUGACUAAAGAGAUAUUUGGAUGGAAACAUUAAAAGUAAUGACUUUAGUGUGUUCCAUUAUGAAUGCAAAAUAUAUUGCCAUAUAGAAGUUUACAACAAUGUUGUUUGGAUGGGAAAGUUCAUUUAUGAACUCUCUAUUCGGUUCCAACCAGAAAAGUGUAUGACACUAAUGGGGCGAUAGCUCAAGCCAGGGAAUCAAGGUCUCAUCAAGAUCCGAACUCAAAUGAGAGACUGAACCACAUGAUUAAGAAUCAUGUAUAAUGGUGACGUCGUUAUUCUCAAGGUUGCUUCUAUGGAUAACAUAUAGAUAUCCAUUGUCUAGGCCUACUACUCAGCCAUUUAUGAAAUGACUACAGAAGAGGUAUCAUCACUGAUGACCAAGCUGAUUGGCUCUAGUGCAAGUGGGGAGAUUGUUGAAAUGUGCCCUAAAACCAAUCAUAUGAUGAUACUUUACGGACAUUUCACAUGUUAAACUAAUCUAGUUUAAUAUAAAAGGGCAAAGAUUAUUGUUUGAGCCGUCUCAUAUAAAAUGUUAUAUGCUUAAACGAUAAAGUCCAAGGAAUAUGUGAUUGGGAGAAUGCAAUCUAAAGAAGUUAGAUUCAUGAGACCAUUCUUUCGUAGACACAUCCUAAACGUUCCUGAUCAUAGGAUUGCCAAUUGGGCAUUGACAGUCCGUUAAGAUCAGUACGUGCUGUGUCUUCUCUCAGGGAGAGUGACUAGUCUCGAGUCAUUGGUGUGUGUGACAUCAAGACAAGUACGUAGGUGCUCAAUAGAGAAUGAGUUCACUGAACACGAUCAACGAAGAGUUCUCAUAUUCAUGUCACAUGAGAACUCAUGGUUGGGAUAAUGCAAAGUAGUCCUUUGACCUGAGGCAUCAUAGUUGUCUUGUGGUUAAGUCCUUGAUCUUUGAUUAUGUCAAAGUCACUCCAUCGGAGGUGUCCACGGCAUCGUUGGGGUUAAGCCACUUAGCCAUGGAGGCAAGUGAAUGCGCAACAAGGGAUCUCUAACCUUCAAACCGUUUGAGGGAGAAUACUCUAUGAUAUGAUUAAGAAUCUCUGGCCAGAGUAUGAAUGAGAUUUAGGAAGUCGCGUUCCAAAUCACAUUCAAGGUAAUCAUAUAAGCACACGAAUCACAUUGGAUAGUAGACAUGAAUAAAUAAACUAUCAAACCAAACAAUGUGGUCAAGAGUAUUGUAUUAGAGAAAGACCGUAUUGCAUUUGUAAUCCUAAACUGAAUAGGUUCUCCACCUCUUCUGAUUAAGCUUGGGUAACCAUGAUAUGCUGCUAGGUGUCACUCAUGGUUUGUGGAAGCCCUAAACGUGUAUAAUCACUAAAGGGAGAAUUGAAAGUAAGUUUCAAUUCACAAUCGAUUUGAAAAUGGUUUUAAUCGCCCACUGCCUCGCUAAAAGGAACCUAAUGGAUCGUACACCGUGUAAGGUGGAGAUUGAAGAAACAAUGGAGAUGAGUAAGAAUAAUUAAAUGGUUUAAUUAUUUAUGGCAAGGAUUAAUUAAUAUGUUAAUUAAUCAAACGAAUAAGUUCGUUAAAGACCUCGAGAUAGUUUUUGGACCUUAAGGCCCAAUGGGCUUCGAACGUCAAGCCCAUUGACUUAAGUUGUAUGACAACUUAAUGAAUAAUCACAAAAGGCCCAAAAGCCCAAACAAAACCCUAUGGCCGGCCAUUUAAGGAAGGGUAGUGAACUUGGACUUUAAUUUACAAGUUUGCCACUCCAAUAUGAAUAAAGGUAUAAAUAUGACUUUAUAGCCAAAAAUUCAUUAGGGUUUGUUUUGGAGAAAAAUUGGAGAGAACAUGUCUCUCCAUUUCUCUCUAAAGAGGCCGGCCCCUUGGAGGGUGCAUCUAGCAAUCCCACUACUCCAAGGUCACUCAUUUCUUCUCCAAUCUAACCUUGGUGAAGAGACUUAGAGGUUCUCUAAUUUUGGGAACUUGGAGAAACCUAUUCUUCCAUCCAAAUCCAUAGAUUUAAUAUGCAAGGAAUGAAGGCCCUCUCUUUGGGUGAUUAGCCUUUGCUUAUGCAAAGAGGAAUCUACAAAGGUAUAUUUCUCAACUCACUUUGAUUUGAGUUGAGUCUUGGUUCACCAAUCUACUCGGCUUUGAAUUUCUUGGUUAAUGUUUUGUUUUUAAGUGCAUGCAAGCAUGAUUCCGCCUUUAAUUGUUAAUUGCAUGCUUAUUGAUGUUGCUUAAAUGAACAUGUUUUCACAAAAUCAUCCUUCAAAAUUUUCUAACAAAAUUUACAUUCAAAGAAGCAAGAAUAAAGCUUGUAACAAUUACAACAUUCAAAUUAAAGACUAUGAACUACAAAACCCAAAAGAAUUCACCAACUACUAGACCUAGGCUCUGAUACCACUUGAAGGAAAUUUUGUGAAAAACAUGUUCAUUUGAGCAACAUCUAUGACAUGCAAUUAACAAUUAAAGGCGGAAUCAUGCUUGUAUGCACUCAAAAACAAAACAUUACCCAUGAAAUUCAAAGCCUAGUAGAAUGGUGAACCAAGACUCAACUCAAAACAAAGUGAGUUGAGAAACUUUAUACCUUUGUUGAUUUCUCUUUGCAUAAGCAAAGGCUAAUCGCCCAAGGAGAGGGCCUUCAUUCUUGCUUCUUAGCUCCAUGGAUUUCUUGGAUGAGGAUGGUUGAAAGGAUUCUCCAAGUUCCCAAAGUUGAGAACCUCUAAGUCUCUACACCAAGGUAGGACUUGAAGUAGAGAUGAGUGACCUAGAGGAAGUAAGAUUGCUAGCUAAAAUCCUCUAGGGUGGCCGGCCUCUUAGAGAGAAAAUUGGAGCUUGUGUUCUUAUCUUUUCUCUAAAAGAAACCCUAAUGAAGAAAAGGCUAUAAAGUCAUAUUUAUACCUUCCUUCAUUGGAGUGGCAAACUUGUAAUAAGUCCAAAACCCACUCCUUUAUCAAUAUGGCCGGCCAUAGGGUGUUAUUGGGCUGUUUGGGCCUUUGUGAAUAUAUAGUCAUUAAGUUGUCAUACAACUUAAGUCAAUGGGCUUGACGUUCGAAGCCCAUUGGGCCUUGAGGCCCAAAACUAACCCGAGGUUUUUAACGAACUUUAUUCGUUUGAUUAAUUAACAUAUUAAGUAAUCCUUGCCAUAAAUAAUUAAACCAUUUAAUUAUCCUUACUCAUCUCCGU
RNAcentral lists this long non-coding RNA (9115 nucleotides) under Malus domestica (apple). RNAcentral describes it as "long non-coding RNA (MDOM_LNC021021)". The record is from RNAcentral. Lineage: Eukaryota; Viridiplantae; Streptophyta; Magnoliopsida; Rosales; Rosaceae.